UGCUGCAUAAACACACCAAAGCAAAAACUCAACCUGUCCACCAACACAGCGACAUCAGACUAAAUAAGACUGGACUAAAUAAAAAAUAAAUCAACCAUUAUUCAAGACGAGUAUAUAUAUAUUUCUUAUAUACUCCUCUUGUAAAAGCAAAGAUGUCCAUUACAAUACGACAUUCAGCGUAAUAUAUGCUGCUUGUUGAACUGCUGGACAGAACAAAAAAAUAAAUGAAAUAGAAUAAAAUAAUUAUCUGUGACUAGUCAUUCACACUGUUUUACACUUAAGCAAUUAACCACACACAUUUUUCAAAAUAAAAGCACAAAUUCAGAUCUUUAGCUUCAUAUAGCAAUAUUUAUCCGUGUCAGGCAAGGUUGUAGUUUAACUGGAGACAGGCUUUAUUGAUACAAUCGUGGUCAAUUCAGGCAGGGUCAUACACGAGGAAGCUUCAGCGACAGUACAAAGGGAGCAGGCAGGUUCAGGUCCAAAAACAGCCAAGGUUGUCAACAGGUAAGCACGGCAGAGGUAGAGAUAAGGAUCAGGCGAUCUCAGGUCAAAAACAGUCAGGUACAUUACCAGGUUAUCUCAGCAAAGGUACAGACAAGGAGCAGGCAGAAAUCAGGAGUAACGAGAAUCAGGAACAAGAUCACGAUCGAGGUAAGCUAACACGGCAAUGCUAGAAAGUGGUGAGUACAUGCGACAAUCUGGCAAUUAGCUAGUGUGAGAUCUGGAGCUUUUAUGCUGGAGCUGAUUACUGAUUACUGUCAGGUGUGCAUAAUGAGAACUGGUGAUGACGUAAGAACAGCUGUGGUGUGAACGGAGCAGGAAGUCCUUCAAAAUAAAGAAAAUCUGACAGAUUGUGACACACACACACCUACUCAACAUCCUUCUAAAAUGAAAGCACCAAUCCAAAUCUUUAGACCAAAUAGCACAUUUUCUGUGUGGUGAGUGAGCUCUGCUGCUCACUCGAGACAUGAAACGCCGUGCAAAAAAACAACCAAAAAAAAGAUGGCUUGCUCGCAGAUAGUGAGUUUAUUCAGUCCAAAAGUAUAGUGCAGAAAAGAAUCAGGUGCAGUAUUUACAGUUGCUCCAAAAACCCCGCGGGUGCAACAGACAAAAAAAACGAAAAACAGAAUGAUAAGGACAACUAUGGAUGUGGAAGUCAACCUGAAAAAAAAACUGCUCAAAUAAAAGGAAUGUCUCUUCUCUUCUCUUCUCUUCUCUUCUCUUCUCUUCUCUUCUCUUCUCUUCUCUUCUCUUCUCUUCUCUUCUCUUCUCUUCUCUUCUCUUCUCUUCUCUUCUCUUCUCUUCUCUUCUCUUCCACUCUCUCACCAAACAACUCGCUCUCCGUCCAGUCCACUCUCCCUCACAAGGGAGUUUGGCCACUCUUCUUAAAGGCCUGGCCCCGCCCCCUUCAACUGGGUGGAACCAUUCUCUAGAACGUUCUGGAAACUAAACAUUUAUAAUCCCAAUAUUCACCUUUAAACACGUAUAAAUCAAUCACCCAUAUUCCCACAAUAAUUCUCAGAUUCAUAACACAAGAAUACCCCACAAAUAAUGACUAGGACCAAAUAAUAACAACAAACAAAAGUGGUUUCGUCGGACCCGCGCCUCGCGCCGAGGCGACACUGCAAUGACGUCAAAAGUGAGCGUCGCCCAGCUGUCCGGUUUUGCCGUCGCGACGCGGGAGUCCGACUACUCCCGACACGAGACUGGCCUCUAUCACAACAGGCACCAAUUGGCCAAGUGUAAAUCUCACAGGAUUACACUUCUGCUUAUCAUGCCAAAAGGACAGCCUGUCACAUUUAUCACCGCAAAGCUGUCUCUCCCGGGACUGGGACCACCAGCCGUAAAAUGUGGAAUUUGCUUGUUAAGAGAACAAGAGACUUAAUCUGGACCUAGUCCUGGUUCAGAUGGACCAGAACUUUCAACUGCCAUGAAACUGAUGUCAUUGUAUUCUGUGAACAAAAUGCUAUUAUUUGAUAUUAGAUUGGUUUCUGUGAUGUUCAAUGCCUGAUCUACAGACUUGCCAGGAAAUUCCUCAAGAACAACAAAGGGACUUCAACUUAUCAGCAUGCCUUCCUUUGUGUGAAUGUAUAAAAUUGAAAUAAAGAUACUUAAUGAAAAAGA
This is a long non-coding RNA of Betta splendens (Siamese fighting fish), 2124 nucleotides long. RefSeq lists it as uncharacterized. NCBI's taxonomy places the organism in Eukaryota, Metazoa, Chordata, Actinopteri, Anabantiformes, Osphronemidae. The record is from RefSeq and is a predicted model, not a curated record. The transcript has 2 exons.